Molecule: ribosomal RNA, 616 nt
Filed under: uncultured bacterium
Lineage: Bacteria
Description: bacterial SSU rRNA
Rfam family: Bacterial small subunit ribosomal RNA
Source: RNAcentral
CCUACGGGAGGCAGCAGUGGGGAAUAUUGGACAAUGGGCGAAAGCCUGAUCCAGCCAUGCCGCGUGUGUGAAGAAGGUCUUCGGAUUGUAAAGCACUUUAAGUUGGGAGGAAGGGUUGUAGAUUAAUACUCUGCAAUUUUGACGUUACCGACAGAAUAAGCACCGGCUAACUCUGUGCCAGCAGCCGCGGUAAUACAGAGGGUGCAAGCGUUAAUCGGAAUUACUGGGCGUAAAGCGCGCGUAGGUGGUUCGUUAAGUUGGAUGUGAAAUCCCCGGGCUCAACCUGGGAACUGCAUUCAAAACUGUCGAGCUAGAGUAUGGUAGAGGGUGGUGGAAUUUCCUGUGUAGCGGUGAAAUGCGUAGAUAUAGGAAGGAACACCAGUGGCGAAGGCGACCACCUGGACUGAUACUGACACUGAGGUGCGAAAGCGUGGGGGAGCAAACAGGAUUAGAUACCCUGGUAGUCCACGCCGUAAACGAUGUCAACUAGCCGUUGGGAGCCUUGAGCUCUUAGUGGCGCAGCUAACGCAUUAAGUGACCGCCUGGGGAUACGGCCGCAAGGUUAAAACCNGAAAGAUUGCGGNNGAGAGAGACGACGACGACGACGAGGGAGGAG